AUGAGGACAGAGCCAAAGCAUUGGGCUAGGGCUUUUUUCCCACCUGGAGCAAACUGUGAAUCAGUUGACAAUAAUCUCUGUGAGUCAUUUAACAAUGCCAUCAUAGAAUCGAGGUUCUAUCCAAUUAUUACACAACAGGAAAUGAUAAGGAAGAAGAUGCUUGUUAGAGUGCAAGAGCAGAGAGCCAAAGGGGCAAAGUGGAAGGGAAAAAUUUGCCCAAGUAUUUUGAAGAAACUGCAAGUCAGUAUUAAAAUGACACAGUACAUUGAGGUGCUCUGGAAUGGCAAGGAGGGAUUUGAGGUGAGGCACAUGAAAGGCAGGAAAAAAAGUACACACUACAUCUUGAAAGAAGGAUUUGUACAUGUGGAUACUUUCAGCUGGCAGGCCUCCCUUGUUGUCAUGCCAUUGCAGCUAUCUACAAGUCUGGGAGAAAGAUAG
RNAcentral lists this ribosomal RNA (438 nucleotides) under Triticum aestivum (bread wheat). RNAcentral describes it as "partial small subunit ribosomal RNA". The record is from RNAcentral. Lineage: Eukaryota; Viridiplantae; Streptophyta; Magnoliopsida; Poales; Poaceae.